RNAcentral lists this long non-coding RNA (516 nucleotides) under Dermacentor andersoni. RNAcentral describes it as "uncharacterized LOC126522181". Lineage: Eukaryota; Metazoa; Arthropoda; Arachnida; Ixodida; Ixodidae. The record is from RNAcentral.
CGUCACGCUACAGUAUUAACGCCGACCGUUUGCUGCCGCGAGCAUAGAAAAAAAAAAAGAAAGGAAUGUGAAAUGGGGUUAACAGAAAUUAUUUUAUUUUUUUAUUCUUUUCCGGAAAAAGUAAAAAUAUCUGCGUAUAAAUUAAAACUUUGCGGCUUACUUCCGCUGCCUAGCGACAGGCGAAUGACGAGCCAGCCAGGUGCAUGCGUCAUUCUUCAGACACACCGCCGAAGCGAGCGAGAUCGGCUGCGCAUCUGAGCGGCUUGUUCGGUCACCCGUCUGCCUGCUUUUCUCUGUUGGGAUUUAGCCUGGUUUGGUGGGCUCCCGCCGAAUUCGUGCGUUCCUUGUGAACUUCGACGUGGCACCACUGCACUAUUGGACUACGGCAAGCUGACGUCGUCUGGUGCACCUUUCUACGGGAACUACUGCUGCUUACCUGGUGUCACAACGUUGGACGAAUGCCUAAAGAACCCGCAACGAGCAUUUAUAUCGAAUAAACAUUUCCUCUUUUCACAA